This 443-nucleotide RNase P RNA is filed under the name Nitrospira sp. RNAcentral's name for it is "RNase P RNA component class A". It matches the Rfam family "Bacterial RNase P class A". From Rfam's summary of the family: Ribonuclease P (RNase P) is a ubiquitous endoribonuclease, found in archaea, bacteria and eukarya as well as chloroplasts and mitochondria. Its best characterised activity is the generation of mature 5'-ends of tRNAs by cleaving the 5'-leader elements of precursor-tRNAs. RNAcentral also lists the same sequence under 1 other name. Lineage: Bacteria; Pseudomonadati; Nitrospirota; Nitrospiria; Nitrospirales; Nitrospiraceae. The record is from RNAcentral.
AGAGUGGGACGGGUGAUCGCUGACCGCAUGCGAGUCAGAGGAAAGUCCGGACUCCAGAGGGCAAGGUGCUGGGUAAUACCCAGGCGGAGUGAUCCGACACCGGCGCCACAGAAAACAAACCGCCGAUGGAUAAGGUCGUGACUUUCAUGACCUUAUGACAGGUAAGGGUGAAAUGGCAGGGUAAGAGCCUACCGCGCCUAUGGUGACAUAGGUGGCAAGGCAAGCGUCACUUGGAGCAAGACCAAAUAGGGGAACGAUUCCAUCUUUCAUUCUCGGACCUGGAUUAGGAUUUCGAAGAUGAAGGAUUGAGAAAGAUUGGCCCGAUCUUUGUUCCCGGGUAGGUUGCUAGAGGCUUAGAGUAAUCUAAGUCCUAGAGAAAUGAUCACCACCGAUUGGCUAUGCGUCGAUCGGAACAGAAUCCGGCUUACAGGCCCACUCUCAUG